Molecule: transfer RNA, 84 nt
Filed under: Thermothelomyces thermophilus ATCC 42464
Lineage: Eukaryota; Fungi; Ascomycota; Sordariomycetes; Sordariales; Chaetomiaceae
Description: Myceliophthora thermophila ATCC 42464 tRNA
Rfam family: tRNA
About the family: Transfer RNA (tRNA) molecules are approximately 80 nucleotides in length.
Source: Rfam by way of RNAcentral
GCCCGGCUAGCUCAAUCGGUAGAGCGUGAGACUCUUAAAUCACGGUUCAUCUCAAGGUUGUGGGUUCGACCCCCACGUCGGGCU